RNAcentral lists this small RNA (1046 nucleotides) under Pongo abelii (Sumatran orangutan). RNAcentral describes it as "processed transcript". Lineage: Eukaryota; Metazoa; Chordata; Mammalia; Primates; Hominidae. The record is from RNAcentral.
GCCCCACAAAGCUAAGCGACCACAGAGAACAAUGAUGCAAAAUCAGUGGGACUUAAUCCUUCUGGCUCUGUGGGGCCUGUCCAUUGUCUCUUCCCUCUUCCUGCCCUUCUCUCUCCUUCCCACUUCCCAGAUGUCAAGGGAUCAGGCAAAAAGGGGACAGCAACAGCCAACUGCAUCAGCCUCCUAGAGCAGGAAAAAAGAGAUAUCACGCCACCUGGGCAAGAUGUAUAGUGAGAUGAUCUUCGUCAAUGGCUUCGUGCACUGCGAUCCCCACCCCGGCAAUGUACUGGUGCGGAAGCACCCCAGCACGGGAAAGGCGGAGAUUGUCCUGUUGGACCAUGGGCUUUACCAGGUGCUCACAGAAGAAUUCCGCCUGAAUUACUGCCACCUCUGGCAGUCUCUGAUCUGGACUGACAUGAAGAGAGUGAAGGAGUACAGCCAGCGCCUGGGAGCCGGGGAUCUCUACCCCUUGUUUGCCUGCAUGCUGACGGCGCGGUCAUGGGACUCGGUCAACAGAGGCAUCAGCCAAGCUCCCGUCACUGCCACUGAGGACUUAGAGAUUCGCAACAACGCAGCCAACUACCUCCCCCAGAUCAGCCAUCUCCUCAACCACGUGCCGCGCCAGAUGCUGCUCAUCUUGAAGACCAACGACCUGCUGCGUGGCAUUGAGGCUGCCCUGGGCACCCGUGCCAGCGCCAGCUCCUUUCUCAACAUGUCACGUUGCUGCAUCAGAGCGCUAGCUGAGCACAAGAAGAAGAAUACCUGUUCAUUCUUUAGAAGGACCCAGAUCUCUUUCAGCGAGGCCUUCAACUUAUGGCAGAUCAACCUCCAUGAGCUCAUCCUGCGUGUGAAGGGGUUGAAGCUGGCCAACCGGGUCUUGGCCCUAAUAUGCUGGCUGUUCCCUGCUCCACUCUGAGUGGAAUUGCUCUCCCUGCCCCAUUCUGGUGUCUUUCCACUCCUCAGCCCCUCGUCUUGCCUCCACCCAGCUGCUCCAUUUUUGCCACAUCGUGGCCCGCAGCCCCAGAGUCACUGUCCAUGUCACCAUC